GGCUUCAAGUGCUUAUGAGGAGGCUGGGACAGCAAGGUCUUCAGAGGAAGUGUCAAGUGGGCAGCAGCAAUGCCAAAAUAGUGAAGCAUUGGCUGAAUGGAGGUCAUCUGAGCAGGUAGAAAAUGGAACUCCAUCAACUUCGCCUCCUUACUGGGAUUGUGAUGACGAUGAAGAUGUUGGCCCUAAACCUUCUGAGCUAUAUGGGAAAUAUACGUGGAAGAUCGAUAAGUUUUCACAAAUCAACAAGAGAGAACUUCGGAGUAAUGCAUUUGAUGUUGGCGGCUACAAAUGGUACAUUUUGAUAUACCCUCAGGGAUGUGAUGUUUGCAACCAUCUCUCAUUGUUUCUGUGUGUAGCUAAUCAUGACAAGCUCCUUCCAGGUUGGAGUCAUUUUGCUCAAUUCACUAUUGCUGUGGUGAACAAAGACCCAAAGAAGUCCAAGUAUUCAGAUACA
This 454-nucleotide unclassified non-coding RNA is filed under the name Hevea brasiliensis (rubber tree). Lineage: Eukaryota; Viridiplantae; Streptophyta; Magnoliopsida; Malpighiales; Euphorbiaceae. The record is from RNAcentral.